Molecule: ribosomal RNA, 506 nt
Filed under: uncultured bacterium
Lineage: Bacteria
Description: partial 16S ribosomal RNA
Rfam family: Bacterial small subunit ribosomal RNA
Source: RNAcentral
AGUGAACGCUGGCGGUAGGCCUAACACAUGCAAGUCGAACGGCAGCACAGGAGAGCUUGCUCUCUGGGUGGCGAGUGGCGGACGGGUGAGGAAUACAUCGGAAUCUACUUUUUCGUGGGGGAUAACGUAGGGAAACUUACGCUAAUACCGCAUACGACCUACGGGUGAAAGCAGGGGACCUCCGGGCCUUGCGCGAUUGAAUGAGCAGAUGUUGGGUUAGCUAGUUGGCGGGGUAAAGGCCCACCAAGGAGACGAUCCGUAGCUGGUCUGAGAGGAUGAUCAGCCACACUGGACCUGAGACACGGUCCAGCCUCCUACGGGAGGCAGCAGUGGGGAAUAUUGGGCAAUGGGCGCAAGCCUGAUCCAGCCAUACCGCGUGGGUGAAGAAGGCCUUCGGGUUGUAAAGCCCUUUUGUUGGGAAAGAAAUCCAGCUGGCUAAUACCCGAUUGGGAUGACGGUACCCAAAGAAUAAGCACCGGCUAACUUCGUGCCAGCCGCCGCCGUAA